RNAcentral lists this ribosomal RNA (567 nucleotides) under Petrolisthes caribensis. RNAcentral describes it as "partial 16S large subunit ribosomal RNA". It matches the Rfam family "Archaeal large subunit ribosomal RNA", at positions 1887 to 2694 of the family's 2987-position model. The record is from RNAcentral. Lineage: Eukaryota; Metazoa; Arthropoda; Malacostraca; Decapoda; Porcellanidae.
UCGCCCUGUUUAACAAAAACAUGUCUGUAUGAAGUUAAAUAGAGUCUAUUCUGCCCAUUGAAUAAUAAGUUUAAAAGGCCGCAGUAUUCUGACUGUGCAAAGGUAGCAUAAUCAUUAGUUUUUUAAUUGAAGGCUUGUAUGAAUGAUUGGACAAGAAUUAAGCUGUCUCUUUCAAUAAGAUUUGAAUUUUAUUUUUGAGUGAAAAAGCUCAAAUAAUUAAAAAAGACGAUAAGACCCUAUAAAUCUUAAUGUGAGUAAGUUUUUAAGUUUAAAUAUAAGGUUAAUUAAAUUUAAAGAACUAAAUUCAUUGUGCUGGGGCGGUAGAGAUAAAAAAAAUAAACUGUCAUUAUGAAAAACAAGUAUUUUUGUAUAGUAAAAGAUCCUGAAAUUUGGAUUAAAAGAGAAAGUUACUUUAGGGAUAACAGCAUAAUUUCUUUUGAGAGUUCAAAUCGAAAAAGAAGCUUGUGACCUCGAUGUUGAAUUAAGAGAUCCUUUAUGGUGCAGCAGCUAUGGAAGGGAGUCUGUUCGACUCUUAAAUUCUUACAUGAUCUGAGUCAAACCCGGGAG